Nomia melanderi (Alkali bee) is the source of this 1365-nucleotide non-coding RNA. Lineage: Eukaryota; Metazoa; Arthropoda; Insecta; Hymenoptera; Halictidae. The record is from RefSeq and is a predicted model, not a curated record.
GACUCGAAUACAGAAUCCAGUGGAAUAAUCAGUCGAUUUCAACUCGUUGCGUUCCGAAUUAUAUUUUCAUUUUUCAGUGCGUCGCUCAGCUUAAGCUAUUUUUAAACGCUUUACGUUCGUCGGAAUUCAUACGUGAAACAUGUGCGAUGCUUCGAGUAAAGUUAAUUUUGAUUAAAAGUCGUGAGCAUGUUCGCAGCAGUGUUUCAAUGAAAAAUAUUUCAACGAAACCUUGUAGUGUCGCGUCAGGACACGAAGAGUUGAAAGAAAGAACAAUGUUUAUCGAGGUUAUCCAAAGCUUCCUCGACCAAGCAGUGUAUUAUUGUGCAUGCGAUGCGAUGACGACGAUACCACAGGAAAUGACUAGGCGAGUGACGCGGUGGGACGUUAUCUGGCGAAAACUCGACUUUCCAAUGAAAAUUCGAUUGUUCCAGUGAAGAUACUCAAACUUUCCAUUGAAAAUUCAACUCGACGGGCAAGAAGUAUAAUUCAUCGCACCGAUGGAACGCAGGUGUUUAUCAUAGAGAAGAAAGAAAAAAAAUAGAAACAAACAGGCAACGUACGCGACAAGUGGUUGAUAUACAUUGUGUACAGUAUUGAAUGCAGUGUUCGCAAAUCGUUACACAACUUUAGUCGCGUUCCUCUUCCGUAGCUCAACCGUCCUUAAAUUUCCCGUUAUCACUCGUAUCGAUCGCUGGUCACAUACGUGGGCUCGUCAAUUGUAUACUUCAAUCAUAUACAUAUACAUAUAUGUAUGCAUGUAUGUAUAUAUGUGUAUAUAUAUAUAUAUAUAUAGAUAUAGAUAUAGAUAUAACUCUUUCUUUCAUAGUUUCCUUUUUCUCACUAUCGGAGAGUACAAAACCUACAUAAUUUACCUUAGCAAUUAUUUUGUCUUCGUACGACUGCCACAAUUGCACAAUUUUUAUUAUCGUUUGUAUUUUCUUUUUUCUCUCGUUUCUUUCUUUCUUUCUUUUUUUUCUUCUUUUCUCAUUAACUAGGCCGAUCCCGUUCGAUCCAUGGAGCCUUCGAUCUUUGAUCCUGCGCCGAUCCUACACAUUUUCACAUUUUUACUCUUUCUCUCUCUCCCUUCCUCUCUCUAUCUCUCGCUCACUUCUCUCGCGUUACAACACUGUCACGAUUAAGGCCAAGAUGGGUUUGUUCGUUGCUUUAAACGUAUCCAGGAAGAACACGCCGCGUUUCCAAUUCGUCGGAAAGCAAUCAUAACGAUAAACGCGUGUAUCGUUCGUGGUAAAUCGAGAAAAAAUAUAUAUUGUUUCUUCUGUUCGAUUGAAGAAAAACAACGAAGAAAAAGAAGAACAACUUGUAUCCCUGUCGUUCGGGAAAAUCGCUCGAUCGAGCAGCUCGAAU